RNAcentral lists this transfer RNA (68 nucleotides) under Rhinebothrium sp. 1. RNAcentral's name for it is "tRNA-Leu". The record is from RNAcentral. Lineage: Eukaryota; Metazoa; Platyhelminthes; Cestoda; Rhinebothriidea; Rhinebothriidae.
GUGACUAUGUCAGAAUAGUAUGAGUUAGCUUUAAGCGCUAAUUAUGGGGGUUAUCCCCCCUAGUCACU